CUUGGUCAUUUAGAGGAAGUAAAAGUCGUAACAAGGUUUCCGUAGGUGAACCUGCGGAAGGAUCAUUAAAAAAAGAGAAACGUCCCGUUCUUUUUCAUAAGAAUGGGUUCUAUUCCCUUAAACCGUGUCUACAUACCUUUGUUGCUUUGGCAGGCCGCCUUCGGGCGUCGGCUCCGGCUGAUAGUGCCUGCCAGAGGACCCAAACUCUAUGUUUAGUGAUGUCUGAGUACUAUAUAAUAUUUAAAACUUUCAACAACGGAUCUCUUGGUUCUGGCAUCGAUGAAGAACGCAGCGAAAUGCGAUAAGUAAUGUGAAUUGCAGAAUUCAGUGAAUCAUCGAAUCUUUGAACGCACAUUGCGCCCCUUGGUAUUCCGAGGGGCAUGCCUGUUCGAGCGUCAUUAUAACCACUCAAGCCUGGCUUGGUAUUGGGGUUUUCGCGUGUUCGCGGCCCUUAAAAUCAGUGGCGGUGCCGUCUGGCUCUAAGCGUAGUAAUUUCUCUCGCUAUAGGGUUCCGGUGGUUACUUGCCAAAACCCCCCAUUUUUUCUAGGUUGACCUCGGAUCAGGUAGGGAUACCCGCUGAACUUAAGCAUAUCAAUAAGCGGAGGA
This 607-nucleotide ribosomal RNA is filed under the name uncultured Meliniomyces. RNAcentral describes it as "eukaryotic LSU rRNA". The stretch from base 245 to 398 matches the Rfam family "5.8S ribosomal RNA". Lineage: Eukaryota; Fungi; Ascomycota; Leotiomycetes; Helotiales; Helotiaceae. The record is from RNAcentral.